RNAcentral lists this long non-coding RNA (1878 nucleotides) under Citrus maxima (pomelo). RNAcentral's name for it is "long non-coding RNA (CMAX_LNC001423)". Lineage: Eukaryota; Viridiplantae; Streptophyta; Magnoliopsida; Sapindales; Rutaceae. The record is from RNAcentral.
CACUUUAUUAAUUGAAUAACAUUAUAGUAUUACAUUUUUUUUUUACAAUAUAAAAUAAACAAAAUGUCAACAACUUGAUCUAAACUCUUCAAAAGUUCAAGCUCUAUUGUGUAGUGUCCUCAGAAUAAAAAAAACAAGGGAAAAGCCAAUUUAAUAAAAUUCACCCUAUCUUCAUGAAACAACUGAAAUGAAUGCAUACUCAAUCCAUUAUAUCAACUAGGAAUGAUAUUUACUGCAUCCUGAGCACCACCAGCCUAGCCUGUUACAUCAAAAGCAAGCAAACUUAUCAUUAGCAUGCUCUCUUCUUUAAUUGGGUAAGAAAAGGACAUUUGGAUACAAAGUUUAGCGAAGGAUAAAGAAGUAUGAGUGCAAACCCUUGUGUGUAUGAAAUAGUACCCAGAAAAAUACUGAAAUAAAAAAAUAAGGUGAAAAUUAUAUAUCACCUGGAUAUUAAAAUAUCAACAUGCUUAUGAGCAAAUAGAGCAAAUUUCAGAGCAGUGAGAACCUCAAGUUUUUUCAUUAAUUAAUUAAGGAAAAUAAAGGAGUGCAAAAGAUAAUAGCACAUGUACAAAUUGCAAUGCUUUACCAAAUUAUUACAUUGUAAGCCUGCAAACUUGAAACCUUUCUAUUGAAGAGACACAGACAUGUUGCAUAUUAUGCACAAUCUCUGCCUGAAAUUACCAUGAAUGGUUCCAGAAAAGAAACCUCAAACUAUGGUUAAGGUUAUAGCUACUGGUCAGACCACAAACCUACAAUAAUUAGUAUUUAAUGCUUCCCCAAAAAAACAAAAAAAAAAACCUAAAAAAUGCUGCUACAUACUCUGAAUCCAAGUUUGCUUUUAUUUCUCUAUAUUUGCCUUUGAAAAUCUUAAUUAUAAUGCUUAUUCCGUCAACAUCUACUCAAUAAAGAACAAUAAAGAAGUAAAAAUAAAGAACCCAUCACUUUCCAAAUCCAAAAAUUUUCUCACUUUCUCACCAACAAAACAUCCUUUUUCUUUCUCUCAAAACCUCAUCUUCCCACUCAAACUCACUCAAUUUCAACUCAAAUUCCACCAAAAUUUACCUUUAAUUUGAAGAUGAGGCAGCUAAUUCGCCGUCUUUCUCGCGUCGCCGACUCCUCGUAGUACAGUCUCCGUGCUUGAACUUGAAGAAAGUAGCAGCAGCUCGAACUUGAAUAACAUCGGCAGCAGCAGCUCGAAAAUCGGUAGUUCGAUUACCACCACCUACUUAGCAAAAAUAAAAGCUGGAGCUAAUUCCUCACAAAAAGAAAAAAGUAAAAACCCACAUCCAAUUUCACCAAACAUAAGUAAACCCAGAAAAGAUUUAAAGAAAUUAAGAAAGAACAAUUGUUCACUAAAAUAAAAGAAAAUUAAAAGCUUACCAUACAAUGGGCGGGCAAGUGACAGAUCCGGGAGAGCAAAGACGGAGCAGCAGCAGCUAGACGGAGUCGUAGCAGCAGCGGUUACGGCGGAGACAGAGCAGCGGCAGUGGCUAGCACACCAAGAGCGACCAAGAGAGAGUGGAUUGGGAGAGAAAGAUGUUGGAUGAAGAUAAGGGGAGGGAGAGAGUGUAGAUUUACUGCAACUGGAUCUAGAAAAGUGAGGGGAAAGAGAGAGUUGCAGUGAACUGGAUUGAGAAAAGUGAGGGCUGCAGUGAAGAGAAAAGGAGGACGAGGGUCACGAUUUUCUUUUGUUUUUUAAUUCAUUUUUAGGUUUAGUUUGUGAUAUUUGAAGAACAUGUUUAAGUUGUUUUCAGUUGAGUAGUUAUAAUAAUGAAUCCGGAUUUUGUGUUUUGUAAUCUGUUUUUUGAAAUUAAUUGGCCGAACGUGUAUUAUAUGUGGAUUAUGAAAAAGAAAAUGAAAAUGUUGCGUGGAAAAGGG